AGCGAUGAAGCACCUUCGGGUGUGAAUUAGCGGCGAACGGGUGAGGAACACGUGAGAAAUCUGCCUUCAACUCUGGGAUAACUCCGUGAAAACGGGGCUAAUACCGGAUAUGAAACCUUCAGGCAUCUGAGGGUUUGGAAAGUUUUUCGGUUGAAGAUGAUCUCGCGGCCUAUCAUCUUGUUGGUGAGGUAAUGGCUCACCAAGGCGACGACGGGUAGCCGGCCUG
Molecule: ribosomal RNA, 226 nt
Filed under: uncultured bacterium
Lineage: Bacteria
Description: partial 16S ribosomal RNA
Rfam family: Bacterial small subunit ribosomal RNA
Source: RNAcentral